Molecule: ribosomal RNA, 551 nt
Filed under: uncultured archaeon
Lineage: Archaea
Description: bacterial SSU rRNA
Rfam family: Archaeal small subunit ribosomal RNA
Source: RNAcentral
CGGGGUGCAGCAGGCGCGAAACCUCUGCAAUAGGCGAAAGCCUGACAGGGUUACUCUGAGUGACUUUCGCUAAGAAAGUCUUUUGGCACCUCUAAAAAGGGUGCAGAAUAAGGGGUGGGCAAGUCUGGUGUCAGCCGCCGCGGUAAUACCAGCACCCCGAGUGGUCGGGACGAUUAUUGGGCCUAAAGCAUCCGUAGCCGGUUCUGCAAGUCCCCCGUUAAAUCCAGCUGCUCAACAGAUGGGCCGCGGAGGAUACUACAGAGCUAGGAGGCAGGAGAGGCAAGCGGUACUCAGUGGGUAGGGGUAAAAUCCGUUGAUCCAUUGAAGACCACCAGUGGCGAAGGCGGCUUGCCAGAAUGCGCUCGACGGUGAGGGAUGAAAGCUGGGGGAGCAAACCGGAUUAGAUACCCGGGUAGUCCCAGCCGUAAACGAUGCAGACUCGGUGAUGGGCCGGCUUUAUGCCGGCUCAGUGCCGCAGGGAAGCCGUUAAGUCUGCCGCCUGGGGAGUACGGUCGCAAGACUGAAACUUAAAGGAAUUGGCGGGGGAGCAC